UCGGUGAUGCAGAGGCUGGAAAAUUAUCGAAAGCACAAUUCCCCCUCAAAUGAGGAUGAAGCAGAUGACGAGGUUAAAACAGAUGUUCGAAUGGAAAGGGUAAUUAAAGAGAUGAGAGAGAUUGUGGAUAUUGUGAGGGAUGAGAAAUUGGAAGAGGGUAGAACCCUAAGUUUUUUAGCAUCUGACCUCGUCGACAUGGCUGACGAUGCACUCGACCUUUUCAGUCAACACAAAAGCAAUAGGAAGUGUAAUUCCAUCAUUAGUUGGAUGGGAGAGAUAAAAAAACAGAUGCUUAAAAUGGGAGAUGAUGAGUCCAAGAUGAGAUCAUCAGAAACUGUUGAAGAUGACAAAUAUCCAUUGGUGGGCGUGGAAGAAGAUCUGGAAAUGCUGCUUCACAAAAGGAUUAUUGUUAGAUAUGAAGAAAGCUAAGCUCAUGAGUAUGCAGUGAAGAAUCAAAUCUUAUUAAUCCAUGGUUUACACUAUUUAUAGAAUACAAGCUAUAAGCUUUAACUUAAACCUAACCUCUGCAUUUACACGUCAGCUCACAGCUUAACUAACUCUUAACAACAGCUUAACUAACUCUUAACAAUAUAACAGCUUAACUAUUCUAAUACAACCCCCAAAAUACUAAGUCUAUCCCUUUUCAAACGGGAGUUUAUCCACCAGAAGUUGAAAACGGGAGAUAGGAACUGGUUUAGUGAGGACAUCAACAAGUUGAUCAUUUGAUGAAAUAUGUUGAACGUCCAGUUCCUUCUUUAAGACUUUAUCACGAACGAAAUGAACGUCGAUCUUUACGUGCUUCGUGCGUGCAUGCAACACGGGAUUUGAGGCCAUUGCAGCAGCACUCUUAGUGUCGCACCAAAUGAUAGGUGAUUGAGACAGAGUGUAACCAAGUUCAGUAAGUAAGGAUUUGAUCCAGACAACUUCCAUAGAUGUUUCAGCUAACGAGCGAUACUCAGCUUCGGUUGAACUGCGGAAGACUACACUUUGUUUCUUAGAGCUCCAUGAGAGAAGGUUAGGCCCUAAAAAGAUGAAGUAACCUCCUGUUGAUUUUCGAUCAUCAAUAGAUCCUGCCCAAUCAGCAUCUGAAAAACCAUUUAAUGUGAGAUAAGCUGAAGAAGAAGAGAAGCAUAGAGAGUUAGUUAAUUAAGGUGCCCUUGAGAUAGCGCAAUAAACGCUUGCAAGCUUUCCAUUGUAACUCGGUAGGAUUUUGGAGAAAUUGACUCAAUUUGUUGACCAUAAAAGAUAUAUCAGGCCUUGUUAUGGUAAGAUACUGUAGAGCACCAAUAGUGCUGCGAUAGAGUGUAGGAUUUGCAAAUAGAGGACUGUCAGAUUUGUGGAGCUUAAUACCAGAAUCAUAUGGAAAAGGCUGAGGUUUACUGUCCAUGAGCUUCGUUUUGGUGAGGAGAUCCCUGAUGUACUUAGAUUGAGAGAGAUAAAAUGAGUGAUUCUUUUUAGAUACCUCCACUCCAAGAAAAAAAUUGACACUGCCCAAUGUUUUGAGUGCAAACUCAUGAGAAAGAGUCUGAAUAAACUGAUGCACAAGCUUUGGAUCUUCACCAGUAAUUAGGAUGUCAUCAACAUAGACUAAUACCAAUAAUAAACUCCCAGCUUUUCUCAUAUAGAAGAAAGAAUGAUCAGAGGCUGAAUGCUGAAAUCCAUACCUGAGCAUAUGAGAUUUAAGUCUUUCAUACCAGGCUCUAGGCGCUUGUCUGAGGCCAUAGAGAGAUUUCUUUAGACUGCACACCCAAUCAGGAUGAUUUGGAUCUGCAAAACCUGGUGGUUGUUUCAUGUAUACAGGUCUAUCCAAGUUACCAUUUAGAAAGGCAUUAUUAAUGUCAAUAUGUUGAAUAUCCCAGUGAAAUGAGCCAGCCAAAGCAAAUAGUAAUCUGACAGAAACAGGCUUGAUAACUGGACUAAAUGUUUCAAGAAAAUCUAAACCAGCAAGCUGUUGAAAGCCUUUUGCAACCAAUCGAGCUUUCAACUUAUCAAGAGAAUCAUCAGGGUGAAGUUUAACUCUGUAUACCCACUUGCAAUCAAUGGGUUUCAUAUAUGAGGUUGGUGGUAUGACCUCCCAAGUUUCUUUUUGCUGAAUAGCUUUGAUCUCAGCUUCCAUGGCAUUGUACCAUAGAGGAUCAGCAAGAACCUCAGAAUCAGAGGAAGGUUCAAUGAUUUUUGAUGGAGUAAUGAUGUGAGCUACUGGAUUAUGGGAAGAAGUAAAAAGAAUAGAUGGAGGUAAGUUUGAGACAGCUAUAUAGACUUUUGGUUUGAAGGUGUCAGCUUUGGAUCUUGUGGUCAUAUGAUGUUGAUUUUGCUGCUGUGGUGGAGGUGAGUGAUGUAAAGAGGAGGAGUUUGAGGGGCUGGGAUUAUUGAUGGAAGGGCUGGGUUUAUUAAUGGGAGGUGGAGAGGGAUUCAGAGGACUGUGGGGAGAUAUAUUUGGAGCUGGUGAGUUAUGUGGAGAGUGAUUGAAUGUAGAUGAGAGUCUAUUGCUGGAUACCGGAGAUGGAGUGUUAUGUGGAGAGGGUUGGUUUAGAACCGGUUGUGGAAUUGUAGCUGGCAUAAUAGGAGGUGGAGAUGAGUAAAGAGAACUAGAUAUACCAGAUGUUGAAGGAGCUUGUGCAGGGAACAGCAAAUGAUAAGGAAACUCAGCUUCAUUGAACUGGACAGAUUUGGCAAUAUAUAGUCUACCAGUAGGAUGUAAACAUCUAUAUCCUUUGUGUUCAUGACUAUUUCCUAAAAAGAGACAUUUUGAGGAUCUGUAUUGAAGUUUAGAAGUGUUAUAUAGCCUAAGGUAUGGGAAACAACUGCAGCCAAAGGUUUUAAGAAACUCAUAAUCCGGAACUUGAUGAAAUAAACUUUGAUAUGGGGAGAUAUUAUGUAGUGAAGGAGUGGGAAGACGAUUUAUGAUAUAAACUGCAGUUGUAAAAGCAUCCCACCAGAAUUUUUGUGGAAGUGAUGCAGUAGCUAACAAAGUAAGUCCAAGUUCCAUAAUGUGCCUAUGUUUCCUUUCAGAUUUUCCAUUCUGUUGGUGUGUGUGUGGACAAGAGUGCCUAAAAUGAAUGCCUAGAUUUUCAAGAAAUGACUUUAGUGGUCUGUAUUCACCCCCCCCAAUCGGAUUGAACUGCUCUUAUUUUAGUAUCAAACUGCCUUUCAAUGAAAGUAAUGAAUCUUGUAAAGACAGAUUGAACUUCAGAUUUUAGUGUUAAAGGAAAAAUCCAUGUAAAUCUUGUAAAAUCAUCUAUAAAAUGUAUAUAAUAUCUAUAACCAUUAGUGGAAGAUAUGGGACUAGGACCCCAUACAUCAGUGUGCACAAGUUGAAAGGGUGCAGUGGUUUUAAUAGCAAUAGAAGGAAAGUUUAUAAAAUGGAUUUUUCCCACUGCACAAGCAUCACAGAAAGAUUUUGACUUCAAACUUAUAGAUUUAUUCAUUGCUUGUAAAGCAUGUUGAAGUACAUUAUUACAUGGAUGUCCUAAUCUAUUGUGCCAAAGAUUUGCAUCAGAUGGUAGUAUAGUUCUAGCAUUACAAGAUAAGGCAGCUAGACUAGUGGGAGAUGGAGUGGGUAUCUUGGUAAGAUCCAAAUAAUAGAGACCUUCAAUAAGCUUGCCCUCCAGCAAAAUUUGAUGAGUAACUUUGUCCUUUACAAAACAAAAAUCUGAAUGAAACUCUAGAUACACAUUAUUAUCAGUGGUGAACUUGGAAAUACUAAGUAAGCUUUUGGUGAUAUAUAUAUGAGGUACAAAUAGGAUAUUACUGAGAAUUAAAGGCUGAGAAGAAUGAGCAGUAUUUAAAACAGAUGAGCCAACAUGAGUGAUAGGUAUUUGGGAUCCAUUACCUACUGUGAGAGAGUCAGUACCAUGAUAUAUAUGGAGAUUGAAGUUGGAGAUUUCCCAUCUGCUGUUACAUGUGCAGAAGCCCCUGAAUCAAGAUACCAGUUAGAGGUAGGAUUUGAGGUGUUUGCUGUGGACAUGUUAGUGUAUGCUGCAGGAGAAAACUGAGAAGCAUUGUUAGUAGCAGAUGAGGAAUGAUUGUAAGAUAGGGAAGAAGGUGAUGAUUCAGUAUUGGUGAUGUGAGCUUGAGGUGGAUUGGAAGACUGUGGUGGUGGUUCUGGACCAGUAAAGCUCACAUCAAAUCUCUUGAAACACUUUAGUGCCACAUGAUUUGUCUUGCCACAGAGUUGGCAAGUAGGUUUGUUACCAUUUGAAUACCUUCCUCCUCCUCUUCCUCUGUUGCUAGAGCCUCUACCAUACCUGCCACGUCCACGAGUAUUGCUAUUUCCUUGAUUUUGUUGAUAUGCUGCAUGUGCUUGAGGGGAGAAGUUGUGAUUUGGAGCAGAAUGUGAAACAACAGCUUGAUUUUGAAGGCGAAGUUCAUGUGUUUGAAGUGCAAAUUGCACUUCCAGUAAAGACAUCUCAUCACAUCGAGAAGAAAGCAGAACACUAAUACUCUCAAAUUCUGGUCCAAGGCCUUGAAGAAUAUAUGAAAUGAGAUCUGAUUCAGUGAUCGGCUGACCUAUGUUGUACAGCUGAUCUGAGAUCUCUCUGAAUUUGAGUAUGUAAUCAUCAAUAGUUGAUUCUCCUUUCUUCAUGGUUUGGAUCUGGCUACGCAACUGCAUAGCACGAGCAUUUGAUUGAGAAUGAAAUAAAACUUCAAAGGCUUUCCAGAUCUGAGCUACUGUAGUGCAACGACCUAUGUACCCCAUCAUCUGAGGAGUGAUCGAAGAUAAAAUCCAGCCGAAUAAGAACUUAUCUCGUCGAAGCCAAUUCAGAAAUUUUGGAUCGACAACUGGAUCAACGGUUGUAGAACUCGACUCCAAAAAUUGAGGAGCAGCUUCGGUUUGAAGAAGAACAUCAUCAAACGCAUAAGCUUUAGCAGUGGCUAAAACUUGAACCUUCUAGAAAUUGUAAUUGUUUCGAUCUAGUUUCAACGAGAUAGGAUGCAUUGUGGGAAGAGGUGUGAGAUUUGGUGUGAGGUUAGGUGUAGACUGAGAAGAUUCCAUGGAGAAGAACAGAGAAAAGGAGUGUGUAGAAGAAAGAAAGCGGUAACCGCUGUGGAUCGGAAAAAAAUUAGCUAGCUCUGAUACCAUGUUAGAUAUGAAGAAAGCUAAGCUCAUGAGUAUGCAGUGAAGAAUCAAAUCUUAUUAAUCCAUGGUUUACACUAUUUAUAGAAUACAAGCUAUAAGCUUUAACUUAAACCUAACCUCUGCAUUUACACGUCAGCUUACAGCUUAACUAACUCUUAACAACAGCUUAACUAACUCUUAACAAUAUAACAGCUUAACUAUUCUAAUAAUUAUUGAUGGUAUGGGACUGAGUGUUCUUAUCAAAGGGAUGGAUGGUAUUGGAAAGACAACUCUUGCAAGAGAGAUAUUCAACCAUCCAAUCGUCAUUAAGGAAUUCGAGUGUCGUGCUUGGGUAU
RNAcentral lists this long non-coding RNA (5415 nucleotides) under Salvia miltiorrhiza (redroot sage). RNAcentral describes it as "long non-coding RNA (SMIL_LNC009140)". The record is from RNAcentral. Lineage: Eukaryota; Viridiplantae; Streptophyta; Magnoliopsida; Lamiales; Lamiaceae.